RNAcentral lists this ribosomal RNA (497 nucleotides) under uncultured bacterium. RNAcentral's name for it is "partial 16S ribosomal RNA". It matches the Rfam family "Bacterial small subunit ribosomal RNA", at positions 28 to 507 of the family's 1533-position model. The record is from RNAcentral.
GAUGAACGCUGGCGGCGUGCCUAAUACAUGCAAGCCGAGCGAACGGACGAGAAGCUUGCUUCUCUGAUGUUAGCGGCGGACGGGUGAGUAACACGUGGAUAACCUACCUAUAAGACUGGGAUAACUUCGGGAAACCGUAGCUAAUACCGGAUAAUAUUUUGAACCGCAUGGUUCAAAAGUGAAAGACGGUCUUGCUGUCACUUAUAGAUGGAUCCGCGCUGCAUUAGCUAGUUGGUAAGGUAACGGCUUACCAAGGCAACGAUGCAUAGCCGACCUGAGAGGGUGAUCGGCCACACUGGAACUGAGACACGGUCCAGACUCCUACGGGAGGCAGCAGUAGGGAAUCUUCCGCAAUGGGCGAAAGCCUGACGGAGCAACGCCGCGUGGGUGAUGAAGGUCUUCGGAUCGUAAAACUCUGUUAUUAGGGAAGAACAUAUGUGUAAGUAACUGUGCACAUCUUGACGGUACCUAAUCAGAAAGCCACGGCUAACUACGUG